RNAcentral lists this ribosomal RNA (484 nucleotides) under uncultured soil bacterium. Its description in RNAcentral is "bacterial SSU rRNA". It matches the Rfam family "Bacterial small subunit ribosomal RNA", at positions 26 to 507 of the family's 1533-position model. The record is from RNAcentral.
AGAUUGAACGCUGGCGGCAGGCCUAACACAUGCAAGUCGAGCGGCAGCACGGGUACUUGUACCUGGUGGCGAGCGGCGGACGGGUGAGUAAUGCCUAGGAAUCUGCCUGGUAGUGGGGGAUAACGCUCGGAAACGGACGCUAAUACCGCAUACGUCCUACGGGAGAAAGCAGGGGACCUUCGGGCCUUGCGCUAUCAGAUGAGCCUAGGUCGGAUUAGCUAGUUGGUGAGGUAAUGGCUCACCAAGGCGACGAUCCGUAACUGGUCUGAGAGGAUGAUCAGUCACACUGGAACUGAGACACGGUCCAGACUCCUACGGGAGGCAGCAGUGGGAAUAUUGGACAAUGGGCGAAAGCCUGAUCCAGCCAUGCCGCGUGUGUGAAUAAGGUCUUCGGAUUGUAAAAGCUACUUUAAGUUGGGAGAAGGCAGUAAAUUAAUACUUUGCUGUUUGACGUUACGACAGAAUAAGCACCGCUAACUCUGUG